GCGCGAAAACUUUACAAUGCUGGCAACAGCGAUAAGGGAACCUCGAGUGCCAGGUUACAAAUCUGGCUGUCGAGAUGCCUAAAAAGCAUUUCAUAGCAAGGGCCGGGCAAGACCGGUGCCAGCCGCCGCGGUCACACCGGCGGCUCGAGUGGUAACCGUUAUUAUUGGGUCUAAAGGGUCUGUAGCCGGCCGGAUAAGUCUCUUGAGAAAUCUGGCAGCUUAACUGUCAGGCUUUCAGGAGAUACUGUCUGGCUCGAGGCCGGGAGAGGUGAGAGGUACUUCAGGGGUAGGGGUGAAAUCGUGUAAUCCUUGAAGGACCACCAGUGGCGAAGGCGUCUCACCAGAACGGACCUGACGGCAAGGGACGAAAGCUAGGG
Molecule: ribosomal RNA, 377 nt
Filed under: uncultured bacterium
Lineage: Bacteria
Description: bacterial SSU rRNA
Rfam family: Archaeal small subunit ribosomal RNA
Source: RNAcentral